AAUGAGGGGUAGGGGUGCCUCCAAUACCUUUUAUAAUUUUAUAAUACAGAGGUGAGAUGUAUUAGCUUUUCGCAUUGCUGUAAGUACUAGGACAACAACACGCUUGGGCAUCUUUUCAAGUAGGAUCCUGGAAACACAGGAAUAGUAGGGGGAAAGUACACAGGACUGUAGUAUCAUGGUACUCCGAAUCCUAUAUAGGAAAAUGCAGAAAGGAAGGCGACACAAGAAAGCAUAGGAAAACACAAGACACAAAAGGAAAGCAAACCAGGUUUGCUCCAAAAUUCUUCCGGAACCACAGUCCACACAAUUUUUAAAGCAAUUGUUGGACAAGACGCCUCUGAAUUAAUGGACAGCAUAGGAAUUUUCCUGCUCGCAAAAAAAAAAAAGGCAAAGGAAUGGUCUUACAGAAAUCGAAUCCUUUCAAAGAAAAGGUCGUAGGCCCAUGGGCCCUCUCCUACCAAAU
This 463-nucleotide long non-coding RNA is filed under the name Setaria viridis. RNAcentral describes it as "long non-coding RNA (SVIR_LNC010029)". Lineage: Eukaryota; Viridiplantae; Streptophyta; Magnoliopsida; Poales; Poaceae. The record is from RNAcentral.